UCAGGUGUUACGGAUGUUAGAAGGAGACGUUUUCAUGAACCCAAUGUAAAAUAAUAAUCUUUGUUUCUCCUCAUCUAUUACUCAGCCACUUAAAUACCCAGAGACAACAAUAUUUGUGAAAAUAUUUUCCUUAAAAUUGGAAUAAACAUCAUUAUUGUGUUGGGUUUUUGAGACUAUUUAGUUAAAUAAUACUCCUGUCUUUCUCCUUUACUACUUUAACGUAGAUGAAGUUAAAUGAUUUAGGUUUGAGAUAACCAUAAGGAGCCCAUUAGACCAUCCCCAACGGAGGAUGUAAAUGAAUCCUUAGUACAUAAUCCUAAGCAAAUACCAAUACAAUAAUAAUAUAAAACCUAAAUAAGCUAAGGAACAGUCUUUAAUUAAGGAUUAAAAUGAAUGAAUCUUUGUUGACGUGGUCUUUUUCCUUUUAGCGUUUUCUGUAGUUUCUUUCUAUGUCACUCUCUUUUGAAGAUGGGAGCAAAUGGUCGGUGGCUGCUCUCCCCUGUCUUAGUCUUCCUCCUCCACUUUCAUUGCCACUACUACUUUGUCUUCUCCUACAUCUCUCUUUCCAAGAAGCUUCCUUAUCCAGUGCCCUUUAAAUCUGAGAAAGCCUGCAACUUUAAGGUGUCUGAGCUCACUAACGAUGGAAUCCCCGAAACCCAUCCUCGAUUUCGAAAAGUUCGACAAUGGGUUUGUUCAGAAACUCAUCUACGAUGCUCUCGUUUGGUCUUCCCUUCAUGGCCUUGUCGUCGGUGACAAAACUUAUCAGAGAUCAGGAACAGUUCCAGGGGUUGGGAUGAUGCACGCCCCCAUCGCAUUGCUGCCGACUCCAUUCCCUGAAAGUUACUGGAACCAAGCUUGCGAAGUUGCUCCCAUCUUCAACGAGUUGGUUGAUCGUAUCAGCUUGGAUGGCAAGUUCAUACAAGAUAGUCUCUCCAGGUUUUAGCAUUUGCAAAAUAGUCCCAGAACAGCUAUGUUUGAGAGGAAGAAGUCUCCUAAUCGACUUGUUGUCGACGAAGCCAUCAAAAGAAUCUGAGUUUGUGUAUCCUCCUUUCGAUUUCUAUUUUUUGUUACUGCUGUGUCGAUUUCGUUUCACAUAUGACAUCGGAUAAUGGCGUUGUUCUGGUUCAAACUUGUUAAUGAAGUAGAUAGAUUCAUUGAAGCUUCACUUGAAAUUGAGAUGAGAAAUUGUGUGAUUUGAUAGAUAGAUGCAUGUGUAUGAUGAAUUUGAAUGUUCUGGCAUGCUCACAAGGAUCUCACAUGCUCUGAAAUUUAGUGCUCAACUGAAGUUUGGGACAAUUGGAGUUGCUGAACACAGCGGCACUUGGAGUUGCUUGGAAAAAUUAUUCAGCAGGUUAGCAAAACAUAUCAAUAACUAGUAUGUAUCUCUGUUUUGUCAGUCUCAUUGUCUGAGUUUGGAAACUUUAGUUUUGAUGGGAAAAUUGGUAACGCUCAUUCAUAACAGCAAACUUUGAAAAAGAUUGAGAAAUCUUUCAUACACAUUUGGUCAUACACAUUUGAUCAUAUUACAUGUUUUAAAAAAAAAAAUUUAUUCCUAAGGACUCCAAAUUGGAGAACACCAUUGGACAUUCUAUUUUGAUUAGAGUCCUUAACUAUUCUAAAAAAAAAAAUUAGUUUAAUAAUCAUAAGGACUCCAAUGGUGGUAACACCAUUGGAGAUGCUCUAAUUACAGAGAACAUCUAUUAUAAAAAUAUCUAUUUUUGUAGCUAAUAGACAAAUAGGUAAGAGGAUAUAUCUGUAAAACAAUCUUUUACAAAAAAUCUUUUACAAAAAUAUCCAUUUGUGGGUAUUUGCUGGCACAUAAGUUUUUGGGACAAACAAUCUUUUACAAAAAUAUCCAUUUUUGUAGCUAAUAAACAAAUAGGUAAGAGGGUAUAUCUGUAAAACGACUAUAAAACCAUUUUGCUAGUGACAAGUGUCCCCAAAUGUGACAAAACUUCAAAAUGUGUAGUGUAAAUAACUCAUACUAAAAGGGCUAAUAAAGUCAUUUUUCUUAUGACCUAACUAGGCUACACAUCAAAUAAAUUUUAUAAAUAGAAGUUGACAACAAGAUGUUUAUAGUGUAGUUCCCCAUAAAAUAUAACUAGACAUUGAUCCGCGCGUCCGCGCAGAUGAUAUUUUAAUUUGCAAUGUCAAUUUUUUUUUAGCAAUUUGUUUUGAUAUAGUUGUAUAUAUGUAACCAUGUUAAUUAGGGAUGGGUUUUUCGGUUUAAUUUUGAAUUCGGCUUGGUUUAUUUGGGUCUAGAAAAACUUUAACCAAAGUCAACCCAAAUUAGUUUAGUUUGGUUUGUGCUUGUUUAGUUCAUUUGUGUUGAUUUUUUAGUUUUUUCUAUUCCAGUUACAAAAAUAUAAACAAAUCAUCAUUUGACAUGAAAUCAUUAUUUUUUUUUCAUUUUUAAACAUAACGUCAAACAUCACAAUAAGCACGUAGAAGAUGUAAUCUAAUAGUUUUAUGUUGUUAUCAUUAAACCUAAGAUCAAUAUCAUAGGUAAUUUUUCAAUUGUGAUAUUAAUGUAAGAGAUUCAUAUUCUUUUAUUUUAUUUUUAGUUGCGUUUUACUGUUAAUUUUGAAGUAAAAUAUAAAUUAUAUUUAAUUUUUUAGGUUAAAUGGUUAAAUAUAUAAAAUCUUAAUAUUAUUAGUAUAUUUAAUUAAUCUAAUUUAAAAAUACUUCAGUUUUUUGGUUCAAUUUAAAACCGAACCAUUUGGAUUCAUAAAAUCUUCAACGAAAUGAUUUAGACAUAUACUUUAGUUUGGUUUGGAUCGGUUUGGAUUCGGAUGGAUCUGUUUGGUUUGGUUCGGUUCGGAUUGUUUGCCCAUCCUAUUGUUAAUUAAUACUUAGUAGUGUAUUUUUUCAUCACUUAAUAAUGUAUUCUAUGGUGAUAAAAAAAACAAAUUUAUAGAUUAACAUAAGUUAUUCUUGUUAGAUAUAUAUCUUGUGUUGACAAAAAAAAUAUAUCUUGCAAAUGAAUAAUAUACAUUGUAGGAAUAUAAUAAAAAAAAUUACAACGGCAAGUAUCUUUAUUAUUGUUAUUAAAAUCAUAGCUUAAAUUUAGGGGUUAGUUAUGUUAAGUUAGUAAGAUGUUCAAUAAUUUUAGGAAUAUUUACUUGAUCUCUUAAUAACUAAAUGUACUAUAUCGAUAGGAAAAAAUUUAAUUUUUGAGUUAAUGCUAUGUCUAACUAAAUUAUGAUUUGCUUGUUAGUGGGGUAAGAAGUUAAUGGGAUUUUUAUUGCUUAAUGUAAUAUGCUGUGGAGUACUAUGAAUAAUUAGUAAAGUUAUAGAGUUAAUACCAGUGGCAUUACAUUGUAAUUAUUUAAGAAAAAUAAGGGUUGAAUCUUAUUUGUACUCUUAUUUUUAUUAAAGGUGUGCACACUUAUAUUGUUCUUUAUUAAUUUUUCUUUUCUGCUGUUAUUUAAAGAUGUGAUGUUGUUUGUUUUAUCUUUUUUCAAGCACAAGACCGUGUUGGAUGCUCUCCACGCUUUGUUGAUCAACUCUCUUGUCAUCGCACUGGUGUUCACAGCAAUAACAGCUUCAAGGAACGAUAACACCGCAACCAAGAAACCAAAUGAAAAGCCCACUGUGAAAACUGUUCGUCUUCGGUGUGUUGUUUGUUUUGUACCUAAGCUUCAAGGCGUACGAGAUUUCUAUCCCCUACAUCUGGUUCUGCUACAAGAAGACUCUCGAUGUCGUAUCCUUACUAUUGGGUCUAUCUGCCAUGGUCUUACUCCUGGUCAGCACAGAUCAGUUUACGUAUUGGGUGGCUAUUCCUGGGUGUAUCGGCGUACUAGCUUCGUUCUUCUUGGUUGGAACUCGCCCCCUAGAGUUUUUCAACAUGAUGGGUUUGAAGAUCAACAGAUGGGCCUGUUAUCCUUACUACCAUCUUACUCGUUGCAUUGCACUGCUCACGCGUAACGGUCAACAAGCAAAUGGAAACAAUGAAGAGAAUCCUCCAGCGGAUCCCCCAGAGAAUCCUUCUUCAUCUGGUUCUAGUUUGGUUUGUGCUUGUUUAGUUCAUUUGUGUUGAUUUUUUAGUUUUUUCAAGUCCAGUUACAAAAAUAUAAACAAAUCAUCAUUUGACAUGAAAUCAUUAUUUUUUUUCUCAUUUUUAAACAUAAAGCCAAACAUCACAAUAAGCACGUAGAAGAUGUAAUCUAAUAGUUUUAUGUUGUUAUCAUUAAACCUAAGAUCAAUAUCAUAAGUAAUUUUUCAAUUGUGAUAUUAAUGUAAGAGAUUCAUAUUCUUUUAAUUUAUUUUUAGUUGCAUUUUACUGUUAAUUUUGAAGUAAAAUAUAAAUUAUAUUUAAUUUUUUAGGUUAAAUGGUUAAAUAUAUAAAAUCUUAAUAUUAUUAUUAUAUUUAAUUAAUCUAAUUUAAAAAUACUUCAGUUUUUUGGUUCAAUUUAAAACCGAACCAUUUGGAUUGAUAAAAUCUUCAACGAAAUGAUUUAGACAUAUAUUUUAGUUUGGUUUGGAUCGGUUUGGAUUCGGAUGGAUCUGUUUGGUUUGGUUUGGUUCGGUUCGGAUUUUUUGCCCAUCCUAUUGUUAAUUAAUACUUAGUAGUGUAUUUUUUCAUCACUUAAUAAUGUAUUCUAUGGUGAUAAAAAAAACAAAGUUAUAGAUUAACAUAAGUUAUUCUUGUUAGAUAUAUAUCUUGUGUUGACAAAAAAAAUAUAUCUUGCAAAUGAAUAAUAUACAUUGUAGGAAUAUAAUAAAAAAUUAUAACGGCAAGUAUUUUUAUUAUUGUUAUUAAUAUCAUAGCUUAAAUUUAGGGGUUAGUUAUUUUAAGUUAGUAAGAUGUUCAAUAAUUUUAGGAAUAUUUACUUGAUCUCUUAACAACUAAAUGUACUAUAUCGAUAGAAAAAAAUUUAAUUUUUGAUUUAAUGCUAUGUCUAACUAAAUUAUGAUUUGCUUGUUAGUGGGGUAAAAAGUUAAUGGGAGUUUUAUUGCUUAAUGUAAUAUGCUGUGGAGUACUAUGAAUAAUUAAUAAAGUUUUAGAGUUAAUACCAGUGGUAUUACAUUGUAAUUAUUUAGGAAAAAUAAGGGUUGAAUCUUAUUUGUACUUUUGUUUUAAUAGUUUAGAUGCCUCUGCUAGCUGUGACCGAAGAAAAAAUAGAGUGGCACAAGACCAUGUUCGAUGCUCUCCACGCUUUGUUGAUCAACUCUCUUGUCAUCGCACUGGUGUUCACAGCAAUAGCAGCUUCAAGGAACGAUAACACCACAACCAAGAAACCAAAUGAGAAGCCCACUGUGAAACUGUUCAUCUUCGGUGUGUUGUUUGUUCUGUACCUAAGCUUCAAGGCGUACGAGAUUUCUAUCCCCUACAUCUGGUUCUGCUACAAGAAGACUCUCGAUGUCGUAUCCUUACUAUUGGGUCUAUCUGCCAUGGUCUUACUCAUCCUGAUCAGCACAGAUCAGUUUACGUAUUAGGUGGCUAUUCCUGGGUGUAUCAGCGUACUAGCUUCGUUCUUCUUGCUUGGAACUCGCCCCCUAGAGUUUUUCAACAUGAUGGGUCUGAAGAUCAUUAGAUGGGCCUGUUAUCCUUACUACCAUCUUACUCGUUGCAUUGCACUGCUCACGUGUAACGGUCAACAAGCAAAUGGAAACGAUGAAGAGAAUCCUCCAGCAGCCAAUCCUGUUGGUGGAUUAACUGAGCUUCUCCAACGAUAAUUUUGAAGCAAAAGACAGAGCCCCCAAGCCAGAAAAGCUAAAGCAGCAGCCAUAGCCCAAAGAUCAGCAUUGAGAAGAGCUGCUGAAGCCGCUAACCGCCAACCACCUAAUGACCAAGAACUCCUACGUACCGGCGAAGUCGCCUCUGUCACCGACCAAGCUACUGAAAGAAACCAAUCUCGUUGAUGCUUGAACCCUAUGUCAUUUCCUGUCAUUAAGCGUAUGUCUAUCAGUUAAAUUUUUAGUUUUAUGCUUUAAUAAGUUCGAAUGUGGAUUUCAGGAUUUGUAUCAGAAGUUGUGAUAGCUUGGAGUUUUAAGUUAUCAUCGCUCUGUAUAUUGUGA
This is a long non-coding RNA of Brassica rapa (field mustard), 6021 nucleotides long. RefSeq lists it as uncharacterized. Lineage: Eukaryota; Viridiplantae; Streptophyta; Magnoliopsida; Brassicales; Brassicaceae. The record is from RefSeq and is a predicted model, not a curated record.